RNAcentral lists this long non-coding RNA (653 nucleotides) under Nicotiana benthamiana. RNAcentral's name for it is "long non-coding RNA (NBEN_LNC022877)". The record is from RNAcentral. Lineage: Eukaryota; Viridiplantae; Streptophyta; Magnoliopsida; Solanales; Solanaceae.
GCAAUUCCAUCAGUCAUCCGAAACUUUCUGGCUCCAUAAUAGAACUAUAGUCAACAGAGAUUUGGUGGAAUUCAGCAAGUGGAAACCACCUAUGCCUCUGCCUUGAAUAUGCUUUACGCGACUUGUAGAUCAAUUGUGCGUUUGUUAUAGUUGCAUUGUAAUUUUUGCCAGAGCUAUAAAUGACCACUGUCCAGCGACUUGUAGAUCAAUUGUGUGUUUGUUAUAGUUGCAUUGUAAUUUUUGCCAGAGCUAUAAAUGACCACUGUCCAUUUUUUUCUCUCUCCAGAGCUAUAGAGAAAAUCUCGCUGAUUAUUUACAUUUUCUUUCUUCGUGUUUUGUCCUUGAAAAGGUUGUGACGUUUAUUAGGUUGUCACAAGAAUUGGGAUUCCUUAGGCUAUUUUGAAGUUAGGAUGCACCGCUUAGUGGUUUUAGUUUGCGUUCUCGGAAUGGAAACGGUUUAAAUAUACCCUUGUACUAUAUGAAAUUGAAUACAUUUGUCAUUCGUUAAUAUAUUAGCCCAUAUAUGUUCUUACUGUCACAUAGUUGGUCCAUAUAUGUCCUUACUGUCACGAAUUCACCCAAAUUAAUUAGCUCUUUUGUUAAUUGUAUUAAAGUGUAUUACAAACUCCAUUUUCGUUUUAUUAGUUUUUUUU